GAUGAACGCUGGCGGCGUGCCUAAUACAUGCAAGUAGAACGCUGAAGGAGGAGCUUGCUCUUCUGGAUGAGUUGCGAACGGGUGAGUAACGCGUAGGUAACCUGCCUGGUAGCGGGGGAUAACUAUUGGAAACGAUAGCUAAUACCGCAUAACAGUAGAUAUUGCAUGAUAUCUGCUUGAAAGGUGCAAUUGCAUCACUACCAGAUGGACCUGCGUUGUAUUAGCUAGUUGGUGAGGUAACGGCUCACCAAGGCGACGAUACAUAGCCGACCUGAGAGGGUGAUCGGCCACACUGGGACUGAGACACGGCCCAGACUCCUACGGGAGGCAGCAGUAGGGAAUCUUCGGCAAUGGACGGAAGUCUGACCGAGCAACGCCGCGUGAGUGAAGAAGGUUUUCGGAUCGUAAAGCUCUGUUGUAAGAGAAGAACGAGUGUGAGAGUGGAAAGUUCACACUGUGACGGUAUCUUACCAGAAAGGGACGGCUAACUACGUGCCAGCAGCCGCGGUAAUACGUAGGUCCCGAGCGUUAUCCGGAUUUAUUGGGCGUAAAGCGAGCGCAGGCGGUUAGAUAAGUCUGAAGUUAAAGGCUGUGGCUUAACCAUAUUACGCUUUGGAAACUGUUUAACUUGAGUGCAAGAGGGGAGAGUGGAAUUCCAUGUGUAGCGGUGAAAUGCGUAUAUAUAUGGGAGGAACACCGGUGGCGAAAGCGGUUCUCUGGCUUGUAACUGACGCUGAGGCUCGAAAGCGUGGGUGAGCAAACAGU
Molecule: ribosomal RNA, 765 nt
Filed under: uncultured Streptococcus sp.
Lineage: Bacteria; Bacillati; Bacillota; Bacilli; Lactobacillales; Streptococcaceae
Description: bacterial SSU rRNA
Rfam family: Bacterial small subunit ribosomal RNA
Source: RNAcentral